CGCGAGAUAGAGCAGCGGGUAGCUCGCUUGGUUCAUAACCAAGAGGUCGUGGGUUCGAAUCCCACUCUCGCAA
RNAcentral lists this transfer RNA (73 nucleotides) under Streptococcus anginosus. Its description in RNAcentral is "tRNA-Met". It matches the Rfam family "tRNA". Rfam says of the family: Transfer RNA (tRNA) molecules are approximately 80 nucleotides in length. Their secondary structure includes four short double-helical elements and three loops (D, anti-codon, and T loops). Further hydrogen bonds mediate the characteristic L-shaped molecular structure. tRNAs have two regions of fundamental functional importance: the anti-codon, which is responsible for specific mRNA codon recognition, and the 3' end, to which the tRNAs corresponding amino acid is attached (by aminoacyl-tRNA synthetases). tRNAs cope with the degeneracy of the genetic code in two manners: having more than one tRNA (with a specific anti-codon) for a particular amino acid; and 'wobble' base-pairing, i.e. permitting non-standard base-pairing at the 3rd anti-codon position. RNAcentral also lists the same sequence under 3 other names. The record is from RNAcentral. Lineage: Bacteria; Bacillati; Bacillota; Bacilli; Lactobacillales; Streptococcaceae.